Long non-coding RNA from Neofelis nebulosa (Clouded leopard), 1727 nucleotides. RefSeq lists it as uncharacterized. The record is from RefSeq and is a predicted model, not a curated record. NCBI's taxonomy places the organism in Eukaryota, Metazoa, Chordata, Mammalia, Carnivora, Felidae. The transcript has 3 exons.
AUGAAGGUGCAGAAGUAUCUAGCAUCCUGGGUAGGUGUACCUUAGACAAUGGCCAAGAAUUCUCCUGCUCAAUUUUUCCAGCAGGGAAGCCAGAUCAAAUUUAACUUGGCCUCCAAUUCCACAGGUUUGCCCAACACCCAACACCACCUGAAAGAAACUCCUGGAGGCUGCAUAAAAAGGAAAAGGCUCCAAUCAGGGACAUGCCUUGGAGAGCUGAGGAGAUUCCUUAAGCUGUUGUGGCUUCCUCAUGCUUGUUACUUUGGGCGCCCACCAUCCAUUUCCACAGCGGGAUUAGCCUGCACCUAUCUCCAGGACACUGGACUGUCCUGACCUUUCUGUGCUUCUGAGCAAAACCAUGAUGCAGGUUGACAGGAGGGAGUGCACCACCCCCCCAACCCAGAACCCAGAAAUAAGGAUCCAGCACCAAAGACCCACCUUCCCCCAUCAGCUACAGAGCAGAGCAUCAAAAUGCUGAGCCCACAUUAACAUCCAACUAGACUAUAUUUCCGGAAAGUUCUCUUCUCAUACCAGUUAGGGCAGGUAAGAAGUAACAGGAGGCAAGUAAAGAUGUUGAAGAGAAGAAAGGUCAAAAUCUGACAUUCAGCUGGGAAGAAAUUCCUUCAGGAAUCUCUGUAGAUGCUUGUAUCUGUGCCACACAGUAGAGGGGAGAGCUUCAGGGCCCCAAAGGCCAUUCAGCAGGCAUUAAUAAAUUUAGGGGUUCAGACUGAAGAUACAUAGCCCUGCCCUCAAGCAGUUCCCUUUUGGACAGAGGAGCUCGGCAUCAGAAAUGUCCCAGAAGCAGUAUGUUCUCUCUGCAUCAUGGAGACUUGGGAGCUGCAGAAAUUCACAUAUGAUCAAGUCAGCAUCUUGCCUUCAAGUCUUGGCCUUUGUUGGUUCAGUAGAAGAAUGGAAAGUGAAGCAGUGCAGUGGAGAUUCACAUGCAUGGAGAAGCCAGAGCUUGGGGGAGAUGCACUUCCUUCUCUACUUAAAGACAAAAAAGGAAAGAAGAAAGGGAGAGGGGGGGGGGAGAAAAGAGUGCAAGAGCAAAAAAUGGUACCCUUUAGAAGUAGACACUGGUCAUGGUUGCCCAACAUUGUGAAUGUAAUUAAUGCCACUGGACUGUACACUUAAAAAUUGUUAAAAUGGGGCACCUGGGUGGCUCAGUCGGUUAGGCGACUGACUUUGGCUCAGGUCAUGAUCUCACGAUUUGUGAGUUUGAGCCCCGUGUCAGGCUCUGUGCUGACAGCACAGAGCCUGGAGCCUGCUUCGGAUUCUGUGUCUCCCCCUCUCUCUGUCCCCUCCCCUGCUCACGCUCCGUGCCUCUCUGUCUCUCAAUAAUAAAUAAACGUUAAAAAAAUUUUUUUUUGUUAAAAUGAAAACUUUGUUAUAUAUAUUUUACCACAAUUUAAAAAAUACUGUAAUAUACCAAAACUCAUUGAAUUGUACAUUUUUAUUUUAAUUUUUAAAAACUUUUAUUUUUAUUCCAGUAUAGUUAACAUACAGUGUUCUAUUAAUUUCAGGUGCACAGUAUAGUGAUUCAACACUUCCAUACAUCAUCCUGUGCUUAUUACAAUAAGUGCACUCCAUAAUCUCCAUCAUCUAUUUCACCCAUCUCCCCACCCACAUCCCCUCUGGUAACUAUCUGUUUGUUUUCUGUUGUUAAGAGUGCUUUGUUAUCUCUCUCUCUCUCUCUUUCUUUUGUUCAUUUGUUUUGUUUCUUAAAUUCC